Molecule: ribosomal RNA, 467 nt
Filed under: uncultured bacterium
Lineage: Bacteria
Description: partial 16S ribosomal RNA
Rfam family: Bacterial small subunit ribosomal RNA
Source: RNAcentral
GACGAACGCUGGCGGCGUGCUUAACACAUGCAAGUCGAACGGAAAGGCCCUGCUUUUGUGGGGUGCUCGAGUGGCGAACGGGUGAGUAACACGUGAGUAACCUGCCCUUGACUUUGGGAUAACUUCAGGAAACUGGGGCUAAUACCGGAUAGGAGCUCCUGCUGCAUGUGGGGGGUGGAAAGUUUCGGCGGUUGGGGAUGGACUCGCGGCUUAUCAGCUUGGUGGGGGGGUAGUGGCUUACCAAGGCUUUGACGGGUAGCCGGCCUGAGAGGGUGACCGGCCACAUUGGGACUGAGAUACGGCCCAGACUCCUACGGGAGGCAGCAGUGGGGAAUAUUGCACAAUGGGCGGAAGCCUGAUGCAGCAACGCCGCGUGCGGGAUGACGGCCUUCGGGUUGUAAACCGCUUUCGCCUGUGACGAAGCGUGAGUGACGGUAAUGGGUAAAGAAGCACCGGCUAACUACGUG